GUGUGUGUGAGGGUGCCGUGAGGGUGUGUGUGAGGGUGUGUGUGGGUGUGUGUGUGUGUGAGGGUGUGUAUGUGUGAAAGGCACUGGGAAAAGAAUCCCAUGCUAAAUGCCCAAGAGCCCAGAGGAGAGGAAGACGGGGCCAGGAGCCUACAGAGGAGGAAGGGUAGCCAUUCUGGGCCUGGAGACCCCCACCUUCCUCCCCUAAAAUACAGGGAAGAAGAAGGCCUGCCCUAGAGGCCAGUAGGAGCUGAGCAAAAGGAAUCCUAAGUCCAAGAGAGGAGCAGAGGACCUGGCCGCCAGCUCCACCCUCCCUCCCAGGGCCAAAUUUAGCCUGGGCUUAGAAGCUGCGGCCCAGCCAGCUCAUUAAAGGGCCCACGACCCUUUGGGCCUGUGCUGUCAGACCCACCCGGGCCCUAGGACACCUCCAGCCCUCAGAGCUCCCAGCCCCUUCAUCCCAGAGCCCAGCUCCCAGCCCCAUUCCCUGGAUCCCCAGCUGGCCAUGGCAUUAACACCCCAAAGCCCUUCUGGCGCCUGCCUCACCCAACCCAGAUCCCUCUUCUGUGGGCCCUCCACACCUCCGUCUUACCACCCCUAAAUCCUGCCCCCUCAUCCUGGGCCUCCCCGCUGAACAAGGCCCCAACUUGCCCACGAGGAGAGGAGUCCAGAAGAGUGUCUCAGCCAUGGCUGCCCGGCCUGGCCCGCCCGGCCAAGCUGGGUGUCCCCUUAGCCCCUGCGUGCUUUCCUGGGCACAACACAAUCACACAGACUGCUCCAAGCUCCUCGAAGACUAGGAUCUUGUCACGUUUGUAUCCUUGGGCCUGGCACAGGGCCUGGUAACUAGUAGGUGUAGCUGGCUGGCGGCAGCUUCCUUAACAGCAAACGUAGGUGCCAUCCACCCAGCCUUUAUCCCCAGUCCAAGCACUUCAGCGUGGAGGUCUAGCAAGCCCUGGACAGGACCAGCCAGCUAGAGACAGAUUACAGGAGUAAGAGAGAAGAGGAGGGACUGUCCGAGGUGCCUCGGCACUAUGGCUGCACAGCUGGAUCUCUGGACACGGAGCCCUGGACCGUUUCCACCCAGACACUCCCAUUCCAUCAAGUGGGGGUGUGGACGUUUAUGCAAUUCUGGAAGGUCUCCUGGUGGGGACCCCUGGGAAAGAGACUAAUAAGAAAGCAUCCAGUUUCUUCGGUCUCUGACGUUGUUGUCUGCACAAGAGAGUUAAGGCAGCCAUCUUGGGACCAUGAGGGAGCCAGUCUAAGAGGCAAAUCAACACAAUGAGAGGGUGUUGGAAAAAGACAAAAAGAACCUGGUCCUUGAUGUCACAGCCAGGCCUCUGAAUUAACCACCCCCAGGACUUCUUGUUACGUGAGCUAAUAAACGUUCCUUUUUGCUUAAACCCCUUCUAGUUGGGCUUUCUGUUGUAACUUGCACCGAAAACUACAAUAGGAUAGCAAAGGAUAUGAACAUAAGUGAUUUGCCUAGAGGAAACCCACAUGGUCAAUGAGAAUAAGAUGCUCAGCCUCAUAGGCAGGGAAUGCAGCUUCAAAUGAGAUGCCACUUCAUGCCUAUCAGAUUGGCAAACAUAAGUCUAACAAGAGCAAAAGUUGGCAAGGAUGUGGUAAAACAGGAUGUCUUGUACAAACGCUGGUGGUGAGAGGAUCAAUUGGUUCAGACGCUGUAGAGAGCAGUUUGGCAGUACUAGUCAACUUCAAAGUGUGCCUGCCCGACAAUCCUAGCUUUCUAAGUAUAUGCCCUAAUAAUGGGUUCAGAGAAAAGUCCAAGCAUGUUCAUUGAAGCCCUGUUUAUAUAACAGCAAAACAGGCCCGGUGCAAUGGCUCAUGCCUGUAAUCCCAGCACUUUGGGAAGCUGAGGCAGGCAGAUCACUUGAGCU
Molecule: long non-coding RNA, 1889 nt
Filed under: Homo sapiens (human)
Lineage: Eukaryota; Metazoa; Chordata; Mammalia; Primates; Hominidae
Description: HSALNT0390554
Source: RNAcentral